Harmonia axyridis is the source of this 575-nucleotide long non-coding RNA. RefSeq lists it as uncharacterized. Lineage: Eukaryota; Metazoa; Arthropoda; Insecta; Coleoptera; Coccinellidae. The transcript has 2 exons. The record is from RefSeq and is a predicted model, not a curated record.
UUCAUACUUUGAAAUUCGGAAAGUAGACAUUUCAAUUGUGGAAAUCCAAAAAGUUUUUGGGAUUAGAAUAUUUUCCUUAUUUCUUUCAAAUAUAUUGCUAGUUGUGAUUGUGAAGGAGCAAUAUAAUACCCGUAUUUGGGGAUCAUUUAAGUACAUGGAAGGAUUACUUAUCUUCUAAGGCCGUCCAACAUCAAAGGCCUUUUUUUUUCUGUAUGUUACCAACAUUUCUUCUCGAAUUUACGUUUAGAAAAUUACGUAAACUACGAGAUCGCUGACGAUUGAGAAUUUAUUUCGACCCAUCAACAUCGAAUCGAUUGAAUGCUGCAAAGUUUUGGUUUACGUACAAUUUUCUUCCCUUGGUUUGGACACAGGAUUUGGAAGUGGUGAAAAUUUUAAUAAUAGUUUCAACCCUGCUGAUUAUUUGGUAUGUAAAGAUCCGAUUUAUAAUUGGUGAUACAGAUCAAGAAUACCUAUACUGGGACAAAGUGAACUUUUCCAUUGAAAUUAAUUUUGAAUUUUUGAACUCUUUCAAUUCAUAUUCGUUCAUACAUAUUAUCAUUGUUAUCUUUAUAUUU